AAAGCGGUUAUUUAAAAGGGAAGAUUGGUGAAACUCCAACACGGUCCCGCCACUGUAAUAGGGAGCACGCUGCAAAAAGUCACUGUGAAAAUGGGAAGACGCAGACGUUGUGAUGACCUUAAGUCAGGAUACCUGCCUUAUUUUUAU
This 147-nucleotide non-coding RNA is filed under the name Massilibacterium senegalense. The record is from RNAcentral. Lineage: Bacteria; Bacillati; Bacillota; Bacilli; Caryophanales; Bacillaceae.